Molecule: ribosomal RNA, 1472 nt
Filed under: uncultured Bordetella sp.
Lineage: Bacteria; Pseudomonadati; Pseudomonadota; Betaproteobacteria; Burkholderiales; Alcaligenaceae
Description: partial 16S-23S ribosomal RNA intergenic spacer
Rfam family: Bacterial small subunit ribosomal RNA
Source: RNAcentral
GGUUUGAUCAUGGCUCGAUUGAACGCUGGCGGGAUGUUUACACAUGCAAGUCGAACGGCAGCACGGACUUCGGUCUGUGGCGAGGCGAACGGGUGAGUAAUGUAUCGGAACGUGCCUAGUAUGGGGAUAACUACGCGAAAAGCGUAGCUAAUUACCGUACGCUCCUCGUAGAAAGCGGGGACCUUCGGGCCUCGCAAUUAUUAGAGCGGCCGAUACCGGAUUAGCUAGUUGGUGGGUAACGGCUCACCAAGGCGACGAUCCGUAGCUGGUCGGAGAGGACGACCAGCCACACUGGGACUGAGACACGGUCAGACUCCUACGGAGGCAGCAGUGGGGAAUUUCGACAAUGGGGAAACCCUGAUCCAGCCAUCCCGCGCAAGGAUGAAGGCCUUCGGGUUGUAAAGCACUUUUGGCAGGAAAGAAACGGCACGGGAUAAUACCCUGCAACUGACGGUACCUGCAGAAUAAGCACCGGCUAACUACGUGCCAGCAGCUGGUGGUAAUACGUAGGGUGCAAGCGUUAAUCGGAAUUACUGGGCGUAAGCGUGCGCAGGCGGUUCGGAAAGAAAAGAUGUGAAAUCCCAGAGUUUGACCUUGAACCGCAUUUUUAACUACCGAGCUAGAGUGUGUCAGAGUGGAGUGGAAUUCGCGUGUAGCAGUGAAAUGCGUAGAUAUGCGGAGGAACACCGAUGGCGAAGGCAGCCUCCUGGAUAACACUUACACGCUCAUGCACGAAAGCGUGUGGGGAGCAAACAGGGAUUAGAUACCUGGUAGUCCGCCCUAAAUCGACGUCAACUAUUGCUGGGGCCUUCGGGCCUUGGUAGCGUGCUAACGCGUGAAGUUGACCGCCUGGGAUGGUCGCAAGAUUAAAACUCAAAGGAAUUGACGGGGACCCGCACAAGCGGUGGAUGAGUGGGAUUAAUUCGAUGCAACGCGAAAACCUUACCUUACCCUUGACAUGUCUGGAAUCCUGAAGAGAUUUGGGAGUGCCUGCAAGAGAACCGGAACACAGGUGCUGCAUGGCUGUCGUCAGCUCGUGUCGUGAGAUGCUGGGUUAAGUCCCGCAACGGAAGGCAGUCCUCGUCAUUAUUACAUGAAGGGCACUUAAUGAGACUGCCGGUGACAAACCGGAGGAAGGUGGGGAUGACGCUGUCCAUGGCCUCGGCGGGUAGGGCCACACGUCAUACAAUGGUCGGGACAGAGGGUCGCCAACCUGCCGAGGGGAGCCAAUCCCAGAAACCCGAUCAGUCCGAUCGCAGUUCGCAACUCGACUGCGUGAAGUCGAACGCGCAGUAAUCGCGACCAGCGUCGCGUAGGCCGUUCCCGGUCCUGUACACACCGCCCGUCACACCAUGGGAGUGGGUUUUACCAGAAGUAGUUACCCAACCGUAAGGAGGGCGAUUACCACGGUAGGAUUCAUGACUGGGUAUGAAGUCGCAACAAGGUAGUUCGCCACAGGCCCGCCGCCGCCC